This 748-nucleotide long non-coding RNA is filed under the name Homo sapiens (human). RNAcentral's name for it is "HSALNT0187984". The record is from RNAcentral. Lineage: Eukaryota; Metazoa; Chordata; Mammalia; Primates; Hominidae.
CAACUUUGUAACUUCACCUUAGUCUCUGAGGGCCACAGCUUCAUUUACAUGAGGUGAACACAAAGUGGCCAAUGGGAAAUCUCUAGGGGGUAUUUGGACCUGAGAAGAUUCUAUAUCCAGGCCCUUGAGCUGCUGCCGCUGCCGGCUCCCACACUGUGGAGUGUACUUUCACUUUCAAUAAGUCUCUGCUUUUGUUGUAUCAUUCUUUCCUUGCUUUGCUGUGUGUUUUGUCCAAUUCUUUGUUCAAAAUGCCAAGAACCUGGCCAACUUGGAGUCAAGACCCUCUACCGAACUUGAAGAUUUUUAGUGUUAUGCCUACUCUGCCAAUUCUUGGAACAUUUGCGGAACUGAGAAUUUACUUCUUCGUUUAUUACUUCCUAACUACAUUUUAAAGAACAAAGAAGAAAAAAUUUCUUUUAAAGAAAGGCCAAAGAAUUAUUAUAGAUCUUUUCUUUCGACAUUCCUAAACAAGAACAGGCCUAGAUGGUGUCAUUUUCAAUUCUUGUCCUAACUGGUAUUGUAUGAUUUUUUUGUUUUUAAAUUGCCCUGAAUUUUUGCCCCAUUUUGUUUGUGUUUUGGGUGAACAUUACCUUUACAUAGAAUAACUAAUGUUUCUUAACUGUCUGCUUUAUAUACAAAGUAUUAUUUUGCCUUCUUCUGAGUUUGAUUAACAACUAACUUUAUGUAUGAUAGUAGUUGUUUGGGGAUUUUUCUUUUUGUAAAGAUGGACUAAUAUCUUAGGCCCCCA